Long non-coding RNA from Vitis vinifera (wine grape), 695 nucleotides. RefSeq lists it as uncharacterized. NCBI's taxonomy places the organism in Eukaryota, Viridiplantae, Streptophyta, Magnoliopsida, Vitales, Vitaceae. The transcript is spliced from 2 exons. The record is from RefSeq and is a predicted model, not a curated record.
UUUCUCCUUUUUUGCUGCUUUCUUUAUCCACCCGAGGACGGCUGGAAGCGAAAACGGGGGGAGAAGGCAGAGCUUUUGGGCUGGCAGAUGGGACGGGGAUACGGCUGGCUUGCUAAGGAAGACACGAGAGAAAAGAAGAAGGAGAGAAAGGAAGGGAAUCCGGAGGGGGAGAGAGGAGGAGCUCGAAGGGAAAAACAGAGGAAGCUGAGGGAUUUUAGAGGUUGCAAGAAGGAAGAUAUCCGGGAGGAAAACGAGAAAGGAAAAGGAUCUGAGGAUCCACUCACCCUGACUUCUCUGGGUUCAGAGUUUCCAGGCUUCAAAAGUAAUUUUGCUCGAAACCCGGCCUUCCACUGCAAAAAAAAAUGAUUCUAUAUGCCUUGGUUGUCUUUGAAUUUCCCCCGGUUUUCGACGCUGCGGGGGCCGCGAAGUGUGGGCAUCUGUGGGUGAUUCUAUCAUUUUCAGCUCGUCUCUUGCCUUGAUAGUUAAUAUAAUUUUUGCGUUUGACGUUGAAUGUUGUGUGUGCAUCUUUGGGUGAUUUUGUCAUGUUCAGUUCAGAUGUCGUUUUCAUAGUUGAUAUUUUCAGUUUUGAUGUUGAAGAUUGGUGAUAUAUAGUGUAUCUCUGUAGAAAUAAAUACUGUGGAAUUCUGUAAUAAUUCUUGUGGAAGAAGGAGAGUGUGAGGGAAAAGAUUAUUUAA